Molecule: ribosomal RNA, 253 nt
Filed under: uncultured bacterium
Lineage: Bacteria
Description: partial 16S ribosomal RNA
Rfam family: Bacterial small subunit ribosomal RNA
Source: RNAcentral
UACGAAGGUCCCAAGCGUUGUUCGGAAUCACUGGGCGUAAAGGGAGCGUAGGCGGCGUGGUAAGUCAGAUGUGAAAUCCCGGGGCUCAACCCCGGAACUGCAUCCGAUACUGCCAUGCUAGAGGAUUGGAGAGGAGAUUGGAAUUUACGGUGUAGCAGUGAAAUGCGUAGAUAUCGUAAGGAAGACCAGUGGCGAAGGCGAAUCUCUGGACAGUUACUGACACUGAGGCACGAAGGCCAGGGGAGCAAACGGG